GCAAUGUGUGUAAAAAGGUCUGUCUCUUAAUUCAAACUUGAGAGGUCUAUAGGAUCCUUGAUUAUUUGCUUCUCUGAUGGUUUGGUAUGUGUCAUUCAAACUGAUAAGAAACUUUACUGAUCUUUCAAAUUCAUCUGAGAGUUGUUACGUUGUUUUCUUUUUUGUAUCAUAUGUAUUCCAAAGUUUGGUCAGUUUAGCGUAAUAUGUGCAGACAGAAAGAGUCUUGACCUUGAUAUAAGGUGUAAAUUUGAACUAAUUGAGAUGCAUAAGACAUAGUUCCAUUAGACUAAUUAAAAUAAAACCUUGGGGAUUUUAACAAUACUCCCAAUAAAAUUAUUUAAGAAGAGUGUAAUUUUAGAAUCCACCCCAAGACUUUGGUUAAUUUAAGGAUUCUCUCAAUAAAAUAUUGUAUAAAGACCAAAACACUCCAAUCCUAAUCUCCUCUCGAUCAUUUUCGUCACCGUCUCCGGCGAACUCACUCUCCAACUCGAACCGGAAAAUAACCAUCAACCAUGGACGUCGUGGAUAUCAAACCAUCCAACCUGACCGAGAAGAAGCAGGAUCCACCGACGUUCAACUUCUGUGUAUCCAGAGAAUUUUCCUCAGACAACAGUAUCAACAAACAACUCUCCACCGCCGAUGAGCUUUUCUCCGAUGGUAUGAUCCUUCCUCUUCCGAUCAUGCAUCAAAGUAAUAUCCUCCCUCAUAUCCCUCCCAACCAGAUCGUCGGAGGAAGAAGAAGAAUAAGAAGAAAUAGCACCGGGGAUUAUCGCCAGCACAACAUACGUAGUUCAACUCCAAAUCCCACUCUCACUCCCACUCCCACCGGCGUUCUGAGAAGCAAGUCCACCGGAUCCAGCCGUAAUCUUUCUUCUUCGUCUUCGUCGUCGUCUUACUAUUUUGGAACGACGAGUGGUGGGAGCUCCGGUGGAAUACGAAUAAGUCCGAUACUGAACUUUCCUCCUCCACGCAAUAUUCUGGGCAAGGGGAAAGGGAAUAAGUUCUUUGGGUUUUUACAUUUUUUCACCAAAAGGAAUAAUAAUAGCAAAGAUACCCCUACAAGCAGGAGGAAGUAAUUUAUUUUAUUACAUAUGGACUAGAUUUCAGGCCCAUCUUCAGCCCAAAUGUCAGAUUCUAGUUUAAGAUCUUGUAAACUCAACUUCCAUAGUUUUUACUUUUUCAGUUGCUCAGGUUCUGUUGGAAUUUCUUUCUUUGAAUACAACCUAUUCGAAUGAAUUGAAGUGACUCUCUAGUUAUAAGACCUUUUAUAGAGGUAAUCUGGUCAUUAAGAUCGUAACUGCAUAACUGCUCAGAAAUCAACCCCAGGAAGUCGAUCUGAAAAUGUCAACCUCCCCAUACGUCAACUUGGAGCCUCCCAUAACCUAUACGGGUGUUUCCAUCUACUCUAGGCUAUCCGAAUCUCCGAUUGCUGGUGUUGUAACCAAGUUUGAGAUACUGUAUCACCAACUAUAUAUGAAUGUUGUUUAACUGAUAUAUAUGGAUGAAUUUAUAUGAAUUAUUACAAUGUUGUUCUAGCAGUAUUGUUAAUAUACCAGUAUUAUGUAUGAUGUAUAUUAGGUACAAAUGAUUGAGUUCACUAUGCGAUAAGUGGUCGGAUGUAUUAUGCAUAUGUAAAUAUGAGUAAUAUGAUCGAGAAAGAUGUUACUGUAAGCGAGGAUGCGGGUAAUCGAUGAUGGAGUAGAUGGAACAACAAAGAAAACGAUGCAGAUCUGAAGACUGAUGUUGAUCGAAGCAACUGAGCAAGAACUGAAGCAAGAUAGAGGAGGUGCAUGAUUCCCUAAUGAGAUCGAGUAUGAUUUUAGGAUGAAAGUAGAGUGAUAACCGGUAAGUAUUGGAUCUGGGUGUUGGUAAUUUAUAUAUAUAGGUGAUGAUGUAUGUAUAGUCGGAUAUGGACUUACACAAUCGGAUUAUAGUUUACUCUCUCUCUCUAGUGUAGUACAAGUGUCGAAGGUAGCGUGUCUUCCCUCCUCUUAGGAGGCCAGUAUUUAUAGACCUUCUUCUACCCUUCAGGCCAGGUCGGGAUCUGGGGAUGUUCCUGGACCGCUCUAGCGUGCUGUAGGUAUCAUCAAUAUAUACUCCCCUCGAUGGGCAUGGUUCGUUUGAUGUUCCUGUUAGGUCACUCUAGUGGGCUGAGGGUAUCAUCAGUACUCUCCAAUUUUUGGAGCCUAAUCAUGUCUUCUUUUGCAAUCCUCGAAGAGUUGGUACACCAGCAGACUGUCUAGUCAGAGCGUCUAAUCAUCCUUGAAGUCGAUUUUAAUUAGGGCUAGUUCUUUCUGCCACUGAGAGUCACUGGUUGAAUACUUUACUUCUUGCAGUGCACCGUCGAUUGGCCUCCCUUCGUCAGGUUGACACUGAUUCGCUCGCGCUGAGGCCUAUGACUCGAGCCACUUCGUAUGACAACGGACCGAACCGGACCGGGAUUGGGCCUGGUCCAUUGAUGUUCCUGUUGGGCCACUCUAGUGGGCCGAGGGUAUCAUCAAUAGGAUUUAUGGAUACCAACAGGUAUAUUUAAAGUGGCUAGAAUAGUAAAUAGGAUACUAAUUGGAGGGCAAUUAUGUCCCUCAAGAAGUUUGAGAAAUCGGAUUUCUUUGGCAACGCGCGACAACAUAAACUAGCUAGUCCUUCCAGUGAGAAACCCCAUCAAACUAGCUAGUACUCCAUCAAUCUACCAAACUUAAAUGCCUCUUAGCUAAGGUAAGGUGGGGUCAAUCUACUAGACUACUACUUAAACCCAUUAAACCCCAUUAUAGACAGUAACAUAUUAUAAAUUCGUCAUACAAUGUCUUUUUUUUAUGGUAACCUGACUUAAUGCAUUUGGAAUAUUCGUCCAACCUGAUCCUAACAGUCCUCCAGAUCUGGUGGUCGCACCUGAUCAAAAAUCGUCUAAUGGUCCUCAAAUAUAUUGAAAAAAAUGGCAUGGUCGCUCCGAUCCAGAUUUGGUCUAGAUUCGUUCACCUGAUCAAAAAUCAUCUAAUGGUCCUCAAAUAUAUUGAGAAAAAAUGGUCUGGUCGCUCCAGAUUUGGUAAUCGCAACAUUAUUGGUUGAUCAUAGGAGUAGAAAAAAGGGUUAUGAUGAAGUCUUGAGAAUUUAGGAAGAGAAUCUUGAGAAUCAAUUCUUUCAUGGUUGAUUAAAAAAUGGAGGAUAAUGCAUGCAAGCAUGAGGCGUGAAUAGUGUGUGUGUGUGUGCGCGUGCGCGCAUGUAACACCAUAUGGAUGGACGGUCGACCAUGUGUGUUUCUUGCAUUAUAUAUCUUUAAUAUUUGAGAACAUCCAUUUGGGUUUUUUCUAAGGAAAUCCAUGAACUAUAUAGAUUUUUUUUUUGAUAAUAACAUGGUAUCAGAGUUUAAAAAUACAUACUCGAGACUCAAAUUUUGAACCUUAAAAAACUUUAAUAGUUAUUAUGAUCAGUCACCGUCACUAAUUAAGAAUUGGGAAUUGUCUUUUUGGGGAAUAGGGAAUCUUGAUUGAUUAAUUAAAAACAUGUUCAGAUGAAUCAGAUCCACCACCACUUUCAUCAUGUUGAUUUUUUUAAUUAUGCAUAUCAUGGAAUCUUAUCCAUAUUUCUCUAAACCCUAAUUCAAGAAGCAAUCAUAAAUAUAUAUUAAUCUCCCCCAAUUCCAUGUUACUUUCCACUACUACUAACCCUAAUUUAAUAUUGAGCGCACACGCGUCUUAUUUUGUAAUACAGAUUAAUCAGUGGCGGAUUCAGGAUUUUUUUUCUCUCGAAUGGAUUAUUAAUAUAAUCAAGAUUAUGGGUUAGAUCUAAAAACCUUAAACCCUAAACCCUAAAAGUAAAUUCGAAGUUGUUGAUCGAUCAAUGAAAUUUGGGAUCUCUAGUUUGAGAAAAAAGUCAAAAGGGGUCGGACUAAUUAAUGGAAAAAUGGUCAACCUAUUAAAAUUUCAAUGGUAAAUUUAGAAAUUGAACCAGGUGAUAAUCUUUAAUUUUAAAAAUACCCCUAGGAACAAACAUGAAAUUUGAUCUCAGUCGUCCAUUUUAAUAUUAAACAAAUAAACAUACCUCGCUGACUCUCUAUCUUUAUUAGUUCUUGUUGUUUACCGUUAUUUACGAGAUCUGCCAUUCUGAUCAAAUACCAAUGAUAUAAAUACCCCCCCCUUCUUCCCCCCCUCUGCUUGCUCAUCGUCGUCACACAUCUGAUCUUCCUAUCUUUUCGAGUCUUGAUUCGGGGCGAUUUUAGGUAACGACGGAGAGAUCGAAUGCUGUUUUUAGACGCAAUUCUUUCAGAUCUUUCCGUUUUUAUUAUCGAUGAUGAUGUUUUUUUUCUGUUGCUUCGUUUUUUUUUUUUUUGAUUUAGAUUUGAGAUAAACAGCAAGGUAGGGGUGAUGGCUGGAAUGGAUGUACCUGUGUAUUGUCCUAAGCCUCGUCGGAUUGUCAGUGGAAACGGUGGCGAAAUCGGAAUCGACAAGUAUCAUUGGACGUCUG
Molecule: long non-coding RNA, 4461 nt
Filed under: Zostera marina
Lineage: Eukaryota; Viridiplantae; Streptophyta; Magnoliopsida; Alismatales; Zosteraceae
Description: long non-coding RNA (ZMAR_LNC002692)
Source: RNAcentral